This 425-nucleotide ribosomal RNA is filed under the name uncultured bacterium. RNAcentral's name for it is "bacterial SSU rRNA". It matches the Rfam family "Bacterial small subunit ribosomal RNA", at positions 358 to 774 of the family's 1533-position model. The record is from RNAcentral.
GGAGUUUUCGGCAAUGGGGGAAACCCUGACCGAGCAACGCCGCGUGAGCGAUGACGGCCCUAUGGGUUGUAAAGCUCUGUUGUAAGCCAUGAAUGACAGCUUGAGGAAAUGCAAGUUGUUUGACGACAGCUUACCAGAAAGCCACGGCUAACUACGUGCCAGCAGCCGCGGUAAUACGUAGGUGGCAAGCGUUAUCCGGAUUUAUUGGGCGUAAAGCGAGCGCAGGCGGUCUUUUAAGUCUAAUGUGAAAGCCUUCGGCUUAACCGAAGAAGUGCAUUGGAAACUGGAAGACUUGAGUGCAGAAGAGGACAGUGGAACUCCAUGUGUAGCGGUGAAAUGCGUAGAUAUAUGGAAGAACACCAGUGGCGAAGGCGGCUGUCUGGUCUGUAACUGACGCUGAGGCUCGAAAGCAUGGGUAGCGAACA